Molecule: ribosomal RNA, 482 nt
Filed under: uncultured bacterium
Lineage: Bacteria
Description: partial 16S ribosomal RNA
Rfam family: Bacterial small subunit ribosomal RNA
Source: RNAcentral
AUUGAACGCUGGCGGCAUGCCUUACACAUGCAAGUCGAACGGUAACGGGCCUUCGGGUGUCGUCGUGUGGCGCACGGGUGUGUAAUACCUCGGAACGUGCCCGAUCGUGGGGGAUAACGAGGCGAAAGCUUUGCUCAUACCUCAUACGCACUACGGCUGAAAGCAGGGGGCCGCUAGGCCUUGCGCGGUCGGAGCGGCCGACGGCUGAUAAGGUAGUUGGUGGGAUAAACGCUUACCAAGCCGACGGUCUGUAGCUGGUAUGAGUGUAUGAUCCGCCACACUGGGACUGAGACACGGCCCAGACUCCUACGGGAGGCAGCAGUGGGGAAUUUUGGACAAGGGGCGAAAGCCUGAUCCAGCCAUGCCGCGUGCAGGAUGAAGACCUUCGGGUUGUAAACUGCUUUUGUACGGAACGAAAAGCCUUCUUGUAAUACAGGAGGGUCAUGACGAUACCGUAAGAAUAAGCACCGGCUAACUACGUG